CUUGUUUUGUUCUCAAGAGUUGCACGGAGGCCUUAUAAGGCAUCUUUGUGCGUGGGGGGGGGGGGGCACCCUCCUCCUCCUCCUCCUCCCACCUGCUCACCCUCCAAGUGGACGUGUACACGCACAUGCAGAGAGGCACUUCUUCAAAAUGACGGUGGAGAGGAUAUUUGACGAGCUGGGACAUUUUAAAAGGUUCCAGGCCUGCGUGUACUUUGCGGCCGCCUUCCAGGCCGUGACUUGCGGGAUCCACUACCUGGCUUCCGUCUUCCUGGUGGAGACGCCCAACUUUGUGUGCGGCCCUCCAGCCAACGUCACGCACGUCUUGUUUGGCAACCUGAGCGGCUCCCGCGUGGAGGACCUGCUGCCCUUCUUCAAAGCGGACGCGGCGGGGCCCUUGGUGGCGAGGACCCUCGGCGGCGAGCAGUGGGAGUUGAGCCGCUGCCGGCGGGCCCUGCGGAUGGGCCCAGCAAUGGCGGGCUUCGCGUACGCCUAUGACGGCAACAAAUCGCUGGAGUCCUGCCACGGGGCUUUUGCGUACGAUCGCAGCCAGGUGCACGAGAGCAUCGUGAGCGCCUGGGACCUGGUGUGCGAGCGGGCCUGGAUGGCCAAGCUGUGUCAGCCCACCUUCAUGCUGGGGGUGCUGAUCGGGGCGCUGGUGUUCGGGGACAUGGCCGACAGAGUCGGUCGAGUCAAGAUCCUGAUGUUGACCAGCCUCUGCCAAUUUGGACUCGGGGUGGCCGUGGCCUUCUCGGCCAAUUACUACUACUUUGUGGUCUUCCGCUUCCUCCUGGCCAUGGCGUCCAGCGGCUACCUGGUGGUGGUUUUUGUGUACGUGACAGAGUUCACCGGCAUCAAGGUCCGCACGUGGACCUCCAUGCACGUCCACGCCGCCUUCGCCGUGGGCAUCAUGGUGGUGGCUCUGACCGGCUACCUGGUGCGCGUGUGGUGGAUCUACCAGAUCAUCCUGUCGCUCUGCACCUCCCCCUUCCUGCUCUUCUGCUGGAAGCUCCCCGAGACGCCCUUCUACCUCAUGGCCAAAGGCAGGUACGAGGAGGCGCAGAGCCUGCUGGACGCCAUGGCCCGCGUCAACGGUGUGGAGAGCCGGCUGAAGGUGGAGGAGCUCCUGGAGGAGGAAGAGGAGCGCAAUGGCGGCGGCGGAGCGCUGCUGCGUGAGAAGGAGGAGCAGGAGGAGCGCUCUCCGGAGAAGAAACUGUCCAUCCUGGAUCUGUUUGGCAGCUGGAGGAUGGCGGCCCGCUCGCUCACCGUGUGGGCCAUCUGGUUCAUCGGCAGCCUGGGCUACUACGUUUUCUCGCUGGGAUCCGUCAACCUGGGGGGGAACCAGUACGUCAACCUCUUCCUGGUCGGUGCCGUGGAGCUUCCUUCGUACCUGGUGGGCUGCUUUUCCAUGGACCGCAUCGGGCGCAAGAAGACGUGCGCCCCCGCCCUGCUGCUGGCUGGGUUGGCUUGCAUGCUCACCAUCGUGCUUCCCUCUGACAUCGAGGCCCUGGCCAUCACCCUCAGCAUGAUCGGAAAGUUUGCCAUCGCCAUCGCCUUCGGUCUCAUCUAUCUGUACACUUGUGAGCUUUACCCCACCAUCAUCAGGUCUCUGGCGGUGGGUAGCGGCAGCAUGAUGUGUCGCGUGGGUAGCGUGGUGGCGCCGUUCUGCGUGUACCUGGCCGACGUCUGGAUCUACCUGCCUCAGCUCAUCGUGGGCAUCCUGGCGUUUGUCAUCGGCAUCCUGACCUUGAUGCUGCCCGAGACGCUGGGUGAGCCCCUGACGUCCACCCUGGAGGAGGCCGAGGCGCUCGGACGAAGCCCCGGCAACAAAAGGAAAGAUGGCGCACGCGGGCUGGAGAUGAACCAGCGCGUGUGAGCAACUACAAGAAGCCGGCAGUACACGUAUCGACAGCAAAUUGGGAUCACAGAUGGAAGGUAUAGGUGCAAACACACCCAAAAAAGAUAGAUAGAUAGAUAGAUCCACGUCAUUUUUGGUUUAAAUGACAGCUAUAAAGUCAAAGAAAAAUGUCAAUAUUUUGUAGGUCGAAAUACACCCAAGUAUGCGUAAAUAUCCCGCGUUUAUACGACUACCAAAUAUGAAUGAAUGAAUUCAUUCAUAGCGUUAAAUGACAUGAGAUGUCUUUGAAAUAUUCUCAGGGUGAAUGUAAUGUACGUAAUGUCUUACUUGAACGUUCCACUUAAUAGCGUGGUGUCCCACAUGAAUGUAUCGUACGCCGGCCGACAUGCGUAUUUUGCAAACUUGUAUUCUCGUGCCCCCACGUGGGCAAGGUGCGUGUGGGCGGGCGGGCGGGCCACAAGGAUCCGGCAACAAUUGUGUCCCGUCUGUAUGAUUUCAUUCACCCUAACCAAGAUGAAAUGUGUGGACCAAAACACGUAGAGCAGGGGUGUCAAACUCAUUUUUGUUGCGGGCCGCAUCAUCGUCAUAGUUUCCUUCAGAGGGCCAUUCUGACUGUCAACCCAAAUACAUCAAUGUAUGAACGCCUCAUAUUAUACA
RNA transcript from Syngnathus acus (greater pipefish), 2512 nucleotides. It is a transcript of the gene named solute carrier family 22 member 16, with no coding region annotated. The record is from RefSeq and is a predicted model, not a curated record. NCBI's taxonomy places the organism in Eukaryota, Metazoa, Chordata, Actinopteri, Syngnathiformes, Syngnathidae. The transcript has 9 exons.